Molecule: non-coding RNA, 123 nt
Organism: Glycine soja
Lineage: Eukaryota; Viridiplantae; Streptophyta; Magnoliopsida; Fabales; Fabaceae
Source: Rfam
UUCUUGUUGGAUGAUGUUUGUCACGUGUCAUGUUCUGAUGUGAUGAUGUCAACUCCAUAAAAGAUGAAAUAAAUUAUUGUUUUCAUUGACCAAUCAGAACAUGACACGUGACAGUCAUCAUCU